This 67-nucleotide transfer RNA is filed under the name Belzebub intermedius. Its description in RNAcentral is "tRNA-Phe". The record is from RNAcentral. Lineage: Eukaryota; Metazoa; Arthropoda; Malacostraca; Decapoda; Luciferidae.
AUUUAUGUAGCUAAUUAUUUAAAGCGUUGUGUUGAAGCCACAAAGAAAGUUGAAUAACUCGUAGAUA